RNAcentral lists this ribosomal RNA (465 nucleotides) under uncultured bacterium. RNAcentral describes it as "partial 16S ribosomal RNA". It matches the Rfam family "Bacterial small subunit ribosomal RNA", at positions 338 to 795 of the family's 1533-position model. The record is from RNAcentral.
CCUACGGGAGGCAGCAGUGGGGAAUAUUGCGCAAUGGGCGAAAGCCUGACGCAGCGACGCCGCGUGAGGGAUGAAGGUCUUCGGAUCGUAAACCUCUGUCAGCAGGGAAGAACGGUCACUGUGCUAAUCAGCAGUGAAUUGACGGUACCUGCAAAGGAAGCACCGGCUAACUCCGUGCCAGCAGCCGCGGUAAUACGGAGGGUGGGAGCGUUAAUCGGAAUUACUGGGCGUAAAGCGCACGUAGGCGGUCUGUCAAGUCAAGGGGGAAAUCCCCGAGCUCAACGCGGGAACUGCCGUUGAAACUGGCAAACUUGAGUGGGUGAGAGGAUAGUGGAAUUCCAGGUGUAGGAGUGAAAUCCGUAGAUAUCUGGCGGAACAUCAGUGGCGAAGGCGACUAUCUGGCACAUAACUGACGCUGAGGAGCGAAAGCGUGGGUAGCAAACAGGAUUAGAUACCCCAGUAGUC